RNAcentral lists this long non-coding RNA (306 nucleotides) under Fukomys damarensis (Damara mole-rat). RNAcentral's name for it is "lncRNA (ENSFDAG00000024787.1)". Lineage: Eukaryota; Metazoa; Chordata; Mammalia; Rodentia; Bathyergidae. The record is from RNAcentral.
GUGCUUUUUGCAGGAAGCCAUCUGCCAAGCUAUGAUAUUGCAAGGAAGGUCAGGCCCCGAGGACGAGUCAAUAGGGCAGCCUGAUCUUGGAACUUCACCUUCCAAAGAUAUGAGAAACUGAGACCAUAGACUUGGUCAGCACUGGAUCACCCAUCCAUCCAUCAUCACAAAGCCCAGCACAGUGACUACUUACUGUAUUAUUAUUAUUGUUGUUGUUAUUAUUAUUAUUAUUAUUUAGUACCAGGGAUGGAACUCUGGACCUUGAGCUUGUGAGGCAGGCUGCUGCACCGCUGAGCUAAAUCCCUG